CAUUUAUGCAUGUCAUUACACGUUUUUAACAUUUAUCAGCCUCAAAGUUUGUCAUGGGAGGCCUCUGUUUACAACAGCUGCAUCACCGAUUUCUGCUCUGUAUGGCCACCGUAGAAAUGUUUUUAUAAAUUGUUAUUACAUUUAAAAAAGAUGAUAAUGUAUCAUGUACUUGUUUGGAUGGUUUUACUAUAUGGGUUUGGGCCAUAUUAUUAAGAG
Long non-coding RNA from Etheostoma spectabile (orangethroat darter), 216 nucleotides. RefSeq lists it as uncharacterized. The record is from RefSeq and is a predicted model, not a curated record. Lineage: Eukaryota; Metazoa; Chordata; Actinopteri; Perciformes; Percidae. The transcript is spliced from 3 exons.